RNAcentral lists this unclassified non-coding RNA (418 nucleotides) under soil metagenome. RNAcentral describes it as "partial contains 5.8S ribosomal RNA, internal transcribed spacer 2, and large subunit ribosomal RNA". The stretch from base 1 to 120 matches the Rfam family "5.8S ribosomal RNA", at positions 35 to 154 of the family's 154-position model. The record is from RNAcentral.
GAUGAAGAACGUAGCGAAAUGCGAUAAGUAAUGUGAAUUGCAGAAUUCAGUGAAUCAUCGAAUCUUUGAACGCAUCUUGCGCUCCUUGGUAUUCCUUGGAGCAUGCCUGUUUGAGUAUCAUGAGCAAAUCUCAAAGUCAAUUCCUUUUGUUGAUUCAAUUGGUUUUGCUUUGGACUUGGAGGCCUUUCAGAUUUCACAGUCUGCUCCUCUUAAAUGCAUUAGCUGGAUCUCAGUAAUUAUGCUUGGUUCCACUCGGCGUGAUAAGUAUCACUCGCUGAGGACACUGUUAAAAAGGUGGCCAGGAAAAUACUGAUUGAACCGCUUCUAACGGUCUAUUAAGUUAGACAAUUACCCUUAAGUUUGAUCUCAAAUCAGGUAGGACUACCCGCUGAACUUAAGCAUAUCAAUAAGCGGAGGA